Vidua chalybeata is the source of this 1247-nucleotide long non-coding RNA. RefSeq lists it as uncharacterized. The record is from RefSeq and is a predicted model, not a curated record. The transcript has 6 exons. Lineage: Eukaryota; Metazoa; Chordata; Aves; Passeriformes; Viduidae.
CCCGCGCUGCGCUCGCCGGCAGCGGCCGACCCGGGCCGGGCCGGGGCUCGGCUCCAGCCGCAGCCGGGACGUGCAGCCGCCAAGGUGCUGCGCUGCAGGGGCUCGGGAGAGUCCCCGGUCCCCAAGAAAAUAAGUCAGUCUUCUAUUCAGCUGUGGCUUCUCUGCCUCUCCUCCUGUACUGAAUGCAAGUUUGAGUAAGGAAAGGAAACAUGAUGGGGGAAGUGAAGGGUUGUCUGUAGCUUUGGAGGUUCUCCUCUCCAGGACUCUGUCUCAUUCCCAAGGGCAUACCAGAGAGGACCUCCAAAUCAAGACAAAGUUGUCAAAUUUUGCAUUGGAUUGAAUGAAAACAAUAUAUCCAUCACUACUACUUAACAAUAUGAAAGUCAUUGGCUCUUCUGGAACUGGUACUCUAACAUACCACACAAGAAACACUCUGGCAAGAGAAAACUAAAGGCCAGCUCUUAAGAAAUUACCCAUUUGACAGAAGAACAGACUGAACAUAAUGCAUGCCCACCAAGGACUACCACUUUAACUCAAGAAAAUGGAGAAGUAUCAUACUAUAGUGUUCAACAUAGAAAAACUGGUGGAAAACAGGAUUAGCAAGACACAAAAAUAUUUUCCUUUAAACAUUUGUUUUCUAAACCCAGUGGCACUUCAGAGCUGAUGGUUACAGAUAAGUACAGAAGAACAUAAAUAAAGAAUCCCAUAAUCCAGUGAGGAUUAACAGGUCAGAAUUAAAUUAAUCUUGACUAAUAGACACAUUUCAUCUUUUUUAGCGAAAAAAUACAUUAAAACUGAAUUAAAAAGCUUCCUUCUCCUUUUUCAGUAACAAUGAAUAAACCAGGGAAAACUUUGCCAGUAACAUUAGAAAGCAAGAGAUAAAAAUAUUUUUAAUCUCUUUCUGCUGCCUGCAACCUUCCCUUGUGAAUAUAUUUGGAAUAGUGAAGUCUCAACUGUCAAAGAGUUAGUUUCUUAGCUCUAAAUCUUGAUUAAAGUCUAAAAAUUUCCAAGCUUGGUUUAUUAUCCCUUAUUUUCACAUAAAAACUAACACUUCCAGGGAGACACUACCUGCAAAUUUGCCCUCCCACAAACACUAGCAAGCAUUUUCAUAUACAUCCUUUCCUUGUGACUUACAAGUAUUGAUUGAAUAAUUCUGUCCUCCAUUUAUUUGGUUUUGAAAAGAUGUAUUUUGCAUCUGCAGUCUGUCCUUUCAUUCUGUUCCAUUGUGUAGCCUUUUUGUCAUCAGU